This 464-nucleotide ribosomal RNA is filed under the name uncultured Klebsiella sp. Its description in RNAcentral is "bacterial SSU rRNA". It matches the Rfam family "Bacterial small subunit ribosomal RNA", at positions 339 to 795 of the family's 1533-position model. Lineage: Bacteria; Pseudomonadati; Pseudomonadota; Gammaproteobacteria; Enterobacterales; Enterobacteriaceae. The record is from RNAcentral.
CCUCGGGAGGCAGCAGUGGGGAAUAUUGCACAAUGGGCGCAAGCCUGAUGCAGCCAUGCCGCGUGUGUGAAGAAGGCCUUCGGGUUGUAAAGCACUUUCAGCGGGGAGGAAGGCGGUGAGGUUAAUAACCUCAUCGAUUGACGUUACCCGCAGAAGAAGCACCGGCUAACUCCGUGCCAGCAGCCGCGGUAAUACGGAGGGUGCAAGCGUUAAUCGGAAUUACUGGGCGUAAAGCGCACGCAGGCGGUCUGUCAAGUCGGAUGUGAAAUCCCCGGGCUCAACCUGGGAACUGCAUUCGAAACUGGCAGGCUAGAGUCUUGUAGAGGGGGGUAGAAUUCCAGGUGUAGCGGUGAAGUGCGUAGAGAUCUGGAGGAAUACCGGUGGCGAAGGCGGCCCCCUGGACAAAGACUGACGCUCAGGUGCGAAAGCGUGGGGAGCAAACAGGAUUAGAUACCCGAGUAGUC